GCAGGCGCUGGCUGUACCCGCCCGAGCUUUCUGGCCCCGCCUGCUGUGGGAUUGGCUCAACUGGCCGCCUUUCCCGGGCCUGUGUUGUUUUAGCUCAUCUGUUCUGGCACUUGUUCGCCUCUCGCAGUCGGCCUGAACCUGGCGAUGUCAAGCCAAGUUCUGUCUCUGGUCGAAAGUAAAUACCGGUAUUUCCAGGAUGCUGCGGGUAUGCGCCAGCAGACUCAAAGCCCUGAUGCCUGCCCUCUCUCCGCAGUGUCUCUGCACUGGUCCUCUUGCCACAGCCGGAGCACCCCAGAGGCUGGAUUGAAUCGGAAAGCGAGCGGUAGGAGAAAGGGAGGUAAUAGCGCCCUUCUCCAGAAGAUGAAACAGGUCGGAGAGAAAGGUUCAAGGACCUUGUGGAGGUCACACAACUAGAGGCAGUUCCUUGGCUGAUAGAUCUAAUGCCAAACCCUCGUUAUUGCCAGCGCUGUGCAAUGCCUGAGACCUUGAAUGAGGCCUGACCGUCUCUAAGCCUCAGUCCCCACGUUUCAAAAUGCAGCCAACAUCAGUACCUGUCCUAUAGCGAUAAAAAAGGACAAAAUAGGACUUGGGAAGAAAAGCGAAAGUGCGCUGAGUUUGUGUCGGGGCACAGGACUGUCAUGGCUCUUGACUUCUCUGGUCCCCUAGGGAUGUGCUUUUGGCUGGCUGGAAAGUAGCUCUAGAUCCUUGUAGUAAUUGCCAAGUCUCAUGAGGCUGUCCCAAGGCUAAUUUACUAGCUUUCACAGGGUAGGUCAACAGUGUGCAACUUAACGAAUCCCCAGGGCCACCCAAAGAGUGGAGCGGGAGAGUGCCCUAGAUUGGCUAGGAGAAGCACAAAGGAAAGCUAACUAUUUUGGUAGAUUCCACCGCUAUUUUUAACCUCCAGAAACAACCAUUUCAUAUGGCUUGACUUAAUAUUUAAUCCUCCUGACCUCCCAGUGAAGCACUGUAACUCCCAUUAAGCAAAUGAGAAUUAGAUUUGGUCAAGUUCACCAGUAAAGUGGUAAACCUACAAUUUGAACCCAGCUCUCUGUGGAUUCUGAAGAGACGGUUUUUCUCAUAGUUGUCUGUUAAGUUGAUGGAGACCUCACCAAGGGCCAAAGAAAAUGUGAUCAAAACCCUCUAAUGUCACAAAAUCUCUAGGAACUUGUAGGGAAAGGGUCUGAGUGCCCUCAUCCAUGACACUCCUGGGUCUCAUAUCGUGGCAAUCUAGCUAACUGGCAUAUGGUUGAAUAUGGGCCCUGAAUACAGAUAAUUUGCUCUGCCAUUUACUGAUGAUAUCACCCUUAUGGCAGAAAGCAAAGAGGAACUAAAGAGCCUCUUGAUGAAAAUGAGAGAGUGAAAAAGCUGGCUUAAAACUCAACAUUCGAAGAUCAUGGCAUCCAGUUCCAUCACUACAUGGCAAAUAGAUGGGGAAACAAUGGAAACAGUGACAGACUUUAUUUUCUUGGGCUCCAAAAUCACUGCAGAUGGUGACUGCAGCCAUGAAAUUAAAAGAUAUUUGCUCCUUGGAAGAAAAGCUCUGACCAACCUAGACAGCACAUUAAAAAGCAGAGACAUUGCUUUGCUGACAAAGAUCUGUCUAGUCAAAGCUAUGUUUUUUCCAGUAGUCAUGUAUGGCUGUGAGAGUUGGACUAUAAAGAAGGCUGAAUGCCGAAGAACUGAUGCUUUUGAACUGUGGUGUUGGAGAAGACUCUUGAGAGUCCCUUGGAUUUCAAGGAGAUCAAACCAGUCAAUCCUAAAGGAAAUCAAUCCUGAAUAUUUUUUGGAGGGACUGAUUUGGGAUCUGAAACUCCAGUAUUUUGGCCACCUGAUGUGAAGAACUGACUCGUUGGAAAAGACCCUGAUGCUGGGAAAGAUUGAAGGCAGGAGGAGAAGGGGACGACAGAGGAUAAGAUGGUUGGAUGGCAUCACUGACUUGAUGGACAUGAGUUUGAACAAACUCAGGGAGAUAGUGAAGGACAGGGAAGCAUGGCGUCCAUGGGGUCACAAAGAAUCAGACAUGACUGAGCAACUGAACUGAACUGAUACAAAAUUUUGUAUAUUGAUUUUGUAUCCUGCUACUUUACAGAAUUUGUUCAUUAGUUCUAUACUUUCUUUGAUGGAGUCUUUCAGGUUUUCUAUGUAAUAUGUCAUUUGCAAAUAGUGACAGUUUCACUUCUUCCUUCUGGGUGCCUUUUAUUUUUCUUGCCUAACUGCUCUGACUAGGACUUCCAAUACUAUGUUGAAUAAAAGUGAUGAGAGUAGGCAUCCUUGUCUUGUUCCUGAUAUUAGAAGAAAGCUUUUAGCUUUCAUUAUUGGGUAUGAUAUUAACUAUGAACUUAUCAUACAUGGCCUUUAUUAUGUUGAGGUACAUUUCCUCUAUACCCACUUAUUUUUGUUUUUUAAUCAUAAGUGAAUGUUGAAAUUUUCGGGGGGGAUGUUGAAUUUUGUCCUAUGAUUUUUCUGCAUCUAUAAAUGAUCAUGCAGUUUUCAUCCUUUAUUAUGUUAAUGUGAUGUACAAUAAGUCCCCUACAUAUGAACGAAUUCUGUUCUGAGAAUGCUUUUGUAAGUACAAUCUGUUCAUAAGUCCAACAAAGUUAGCCUAGGUCCCCAACUAGCACACUUAGCUAUAUAAUACUGUACUGUAAUACAGGGGUCCCUAAUCUCCAGGAUCUAAUGCCUGAUGAUCUGAGGUGGAGCUGAUGUAAUAACAGAAAUGAAGUUCACAAUAAAUGUAAUGCACCUGAAUCAUUCCAAAACCACCACUCCACUCCCAGUUCAUGAAAAAAUUGUCUUCCAUAAAACUGGUCCCUGGUGCCAAAAAGGUUGCGGACUGCUACACAGGUUUGUAAUACUUUUCACACAAAUAAUACAUAAACACACACACACACACACACACACACACACACAAACAUUUUAAAUCUUACAAUACAGUACCUUGAAAAGUAUGCCAGACAUGUGAAGUAAUUUACUGACUGGCCAUGCGACUGCAUGUUCGCAUCUUUGAAAGUGUGCAACUUCAAGGUUCAUAUGUAGGGAAUUUUCUGUAUUCUGUUGAUUGAUUUGUGGGUAUUGAUUGAUUUGUGGAUACUGAACCAUCUUUGCAUUCCUGAAAUAAAUCCCACUUGAUAAUGUUGUAUGAUCUUUUCAAUA
This is a long non-coding RNA of Dama dama (fallow deer), 3153 nucleotides long. RefSeq lists it as uncharacterized. The transcript has 2 exons. The record is from RefSeq and is a predicted model, not a curated record. NCBI's taxonomy places the organism in Eukaryota, Metazoa, Chordata, Mammalia, Artiodactyla, Cervidae.